AAUUGGAAAUUCCGGAACCGGGGUUAACCCGAUAAAUUUUGAACCGCUGGUUAAAAAAGAAGGGGGUUUGCCUUCAUUUAGGAGGCCCCCCCUCCCUUAAUUUUUUGGGAGGAAAGGCCCCCCAAGGAAAGGGUGGUUGCCCCCCUGAGGGGGUUUUCGCCCCCCGGGGAUGGAACCCCGCCCCAAUUUCUUCGGGGGGCGCAUUGGGAUUUUUCCCCAAGGAAGAAAUUCGGAGGAGCAACCCCGCUUGAAUGAUGAAGGCUUUCGGGUCGUAAAAUUUUGUGUUAGGGAAGAACAAAUGCUAGUUGAAUAAGCUGGCACCUUGACGGUACCUAACCAGAAAGCCACGGCUAACUACGUGCCAGCAGCCGCGGUAAUACGUAGGUGGCCAGCGUUUUCCGGAAUUAUUGGGCGUAAAGCGCGCGCAGGUGGUUUCUUAAGUCUGAUGUGAAAGCCCACGGCUCAACCGUGGAGGGUCAUUGGAAACUGGGAGACUUGAGUGCAGAAGAGGAAAGUGGAAUUCCAUGUGUAGCGGUGAAAUGCGUAGAGAUAUGGAGGAACACCAGUGGCGAAGGGGACUUUUUGGUCUGUAACUGACACUGAGGCGCGAAAGCGUGGGGAGCAAACAGGAUUAGAUACCCUGGUAGUCCACGCCGUAAACGAUGAGUGCUAAGUGUUAGAGGGUUUCCGCCCUUUAGUGCUGAAGUUAACGCAUUAAGCACUCCGCCUGGGGAGUACGGCCGCAAGGCUGAAACUCAAAGGAAUUGACGGGGGCCCGCACCAGCGGUGGAGCAUGUGGUUUAAUUUGAAGCAACGCGAAGAACCUUACCAGGUCUUGACAUCCUUUGACAACCCUAGAGAUAGGGCUUUUCCUUCGGGAGCAGAGUGACAGGUGGUGCAUGGUUGUCGUCAGCUCGUGUCGUGAGAUGUUGGGUUAAGUCCCGCAACGAGCGCAACCCUUGAUUUUAGUUGCCAUCAUUUAGUUGGGCACUCUAAGGUGACUGCCGGUGACAAACCGGAGGAAGGUGGGGAUGACGUCAAAUCAUCAUGCCCCUUAUGACCUGGGCUACACACGUGCUACAAUGGACGGUACAAAGAGCUGCAAGACCGCGAGGUGGAGCUAAUCUCAUAAAACCGUUCUCAGUUCGGAUUGUAGGGUGCAACUCGCCUACAUGAAGCUGGAAUCGCUAGUAAUCGCGGAUCAGCAUGCCGCGGUGAAUACGUUCCCGGGCCUUGUACACACCGCCCGUCACACCACGAGAGUUUGUAACACCCGAAGUCGGUGGGGUAACCUUUUUGGAGCCAGCCGCCUAAGGUGGGACAGAUGAUUGGGGUGAAGUCGAACAAGAGCUAGGACAGCCUUCGAUG
RNAcentral lists this ribosomal RNA (1368 nucleotides) under Bacillus cereus. Its description in RNAcentral is "bacterial SSU rRNA". It matches the Rfam family "Bacterial small subunit ribosomal RNA". The record is from RNAcentral. Lineage: Bacteria; Bacillati; Bacillota; Bacilli; Caryophanales; Bacillaceae.